GAUGAACGCUGGCGGCGUGCCUAAUACAUGCAAGUCGAGCGAACGGACGAGAAGCUUGCUUCUCUGAUGUUAGCGGCGGACGGGUGAGUAACACGUGGAUAACCUACCUAUAAGACUGGGAUAACUUCGGGAAACCGGAGCUAAUACCGGAUAAUAUUUUGAACCGCAUGGUUCAAAAGUGAAAGACGGUCUUGCUGUCACUUAUAGAUGGAUCCGCGCUGCAUUAGCUAGUUGGUAAGGUAACGGCUUACCAAGGCAACGAUGCAUAGCCGACCUGAGAGGGUGAUCGGCCACACUGGAACUGAGACACGGUCCAGACUCCUACGGGAGGCAGCAGUAGGGAAUCUUCCGCAAUGGGCGAAAGCCUGACGGAGCAACGCCGCGUGAGUGAUGAAGGUCUGCGGAUCGUAAAACUCUGUUAUUAGGGAAGAACAUAUGUGUAAGUAACUGUGCACAUCUUGACGGUACCUAAUCAGAAAGCCACGGCUAACUACGU
This 496-nucleotide ribosomal RNA is filed under the name uncultured bacterium. RNAcentral describes it as "partial 16S ribosomal RNA". It matches the Rfam family "Bacterial small subunit ribosomal RNA", at positions 28 to 506 of the family's 1533-position model. The record is from RNAcentral.